CGCGGUAAUACGGAGGGUGCGAGCGUUAAUCGGAAUUACUGGGCGUAAAGCGCAUGCAGGCGGCCUGUUAAGUCAGAUGUGAAAGCCCGGGGCUUAACCUCGGAAUUGCAUUUGAAACUGGCAGGCUAGAGUCUUGUAGAGGGGGGUAGAAUUUCAGGUGUAGCGGUGAAAUGCGUAGAGAUCUGAAGGAAUACCAGUGGCGAAGGCGGCCCCCUGGACAAAGACUGACGCUCAGAUGCGAAAGCGUGGGGAGCAAACAGGAUUAGAUACCCUGGUAGUCCACGCCGUAAACGAUGUCUACUUGGAGGUUGUGGCCUUGAGCCGUGGCUUUCGGAGCUAACGCGUUAAGUAGACCGCCUGGGGAGUACGGUCGCAAGAUUAAAACUCAAAUGAAUUGACGGGGGCCCGCACAAGCGGUGGAGCAUGUGGUUUAAUUCGAUGCAACGCGAAGAACCUUACCUACUCUUGACAUCCAGAGAA
RNAcentral lists this ribosomal RNA (480 nucleotides) under Photobacterium damselae. RNAcentral describes it as "bacterial SSU rRNA". It matches the Rfam family "Bacterial small subunit ribosomal RNA", at positions 516 to 995 of the family's 1533-position model. The record is from RNAcentral. Lineage: Bacteria; Pseudomonadati; Pseudomonadota; Gammaproteobacteria; Vibrionales; Vibrionaceae.